GACGAACGCUGGCGGCGUGCCUAAUACAUGCAAGUAGAACGCUGAAGGAGGAGCUUGCUCUUCUGGAUGAGUUGCGAACGGGUGAGUAACGCGUAGGUAACCUGCCUGGUAGCGGGGGAUAACUAUUGGAAACGAUAGCUAAUACCGCAUAACAGUAGAUGUUGCAUGACAUUUGCUUAAAAGGUGCAAUUGCACCACUACCAGAUGGACCUGCGUUGUAUUAGCUAGUUGGUGGGGUAACGGCUCACCAAGGCGACGAUACAUAGCCGACCUGAGAGGGUGAUCGGCCACACUGGGACUGAGACACGGCCCAGACUCCUACGGGAGGCAGCUGUAGGGAAUCUUCGGCAAUGGACGGAAGUCUGACCGAGCAACGCCGCGUGAGUGAAGAAGGUUUUCGGAUCGUAAAGCUCUGUUGUAAGAGAAGAACGAGUGUGAGAGUGGAAAGUUCACACUGUGACGGUAGCUUACCAGAAAGGGACGGCUAACUACGUG
Molecule: ribosomal RNA, 495 nt
Filed under: uncultured bacterium
Lineage: Bacteria
Description: partial 16S ribosomal RNA
Rfam family: Bacterial small subunit ribosomal RNA
Source: RNAcentral